This is a non-coding RNA of Myodes glareolus (Bank vole), 1188 nucleotides long. Lineage: Eukaryota; Metazoa; Chordata; Mammalia; Rodentia; Cricetidae. The record is from RefSeq and is a predicted model, not a curated record.
AAGCAUUGUGCCAGUUCCGUUUAAAUGUAUCUGCCGUGGAUCUGGUCAAGUGGAGAUAAUCCAUGCAAAUCAGAAACUGUGGUUGUCAGUGUGUGGUUCCCGGAGAGGACUCAGCCUGAGGAGGUCACUCGUCCACAGCCGCUCCUCCCAUUCUAUCUCUCCCCUUAUUGCAGAACUGCUGUAUGUACACACUGGCAGAAAGGACUCAAUUGACUUCAACUGCUGCCUGGUUUUGCUUACAACUUUUUCUUAUAAAGGAACUUACCUCCAUCUGUCUUUUCAAGGUUGACAAGCCACUUCCUCCAAACUCCACAACUCAUUCUGAUGACUAUGGAGCCUACAUAGUUUCUAGAGAUAAACGAUGAAUUUCACAGUAUCAGAAGAUGACUGUGUUGGCAGUUUUAUUGCGUGCAUGUACAUUACCAUCAACCAAUACUUACUGAUCUGUCCCAUGAAGUCAAUGAACAUUUUGCAAGCAGAUGGGCUACAGGUUCAGAAAAAAAAAAAAAUCAAUGACUAUUUGAGCGAGCAAGUGAAUUAGGGAGAGUAAAAGCAGUCUAUGUGCUUUCUCUUGGAGGGAAAGUCAAGAUCCAGUCGUCAGAAGACAAACCCAGUGUUGAUGGCUGAAGUCAGGAGCGCAGGCGUCUCUCUGGCUAGGAAUCCGAUUGCUGUUUUCAUUCCAUAAACUGAUUUCCCGAUGGAUUUGAAUAAUUUCGACAUUGAGAAGACAAAACCCUGUUUGUGGUUCUUUGUUGUGCAGCUCAAGGCCAGUUUCCCUCCUAAUCAUUUUUCAUUUGCCUUCCUCUCCACUCAUUUUGCCAGUUUGCAUUUUUUUGUGCUGCUACCCACAAACCCCUCUUCUUGCUGAGGAGUGUCCAUUUGUCUUGCAGUUUUCCCCUGUGUCUAUCAACUCUGCCUUGCACUCAGCCUUCCUGUUUUGGAGCCCUAAUUUUGUUCAAAGCCUUAUCAAUUAAUUGGGCAUAAAACACCUUGGCUCUUCUAUGGAAAUCACCUUCCCCUCUAGCUUAAGGCAUCGCCAGUGGUAAAAUGGAUUCAUUUUGUAUUUGCAGACAUUUCAGGGGUGGGAUCAUACUUUCCAUUGAUACCUUUUUAAAAAAAAAGAUUUCUGUCAGUGAUGGAAAUACUAUUGCUGAGAGUUUGCAAAUGCCCAAAUAUACAAGAAAUAAA